AAAUUGAAGAGUUUGAUCAUGGCUCAGAUUGAACGCUGGCGGCAGGCCUAACACAUGCAAGUCGAGCGGAAACGACAACAUUGA
Molecule: ribosomal RNA, 84 nt
Filed under: Vibrio splendidus
Lineage: Bacteria; Pseudomonadati; Pseudomonadota; Gammaproteobacteria; Vibrionales; Vibrionaceae
Also listed under: 2 other names
Description: partial 16S ribosomal RNA
Rfam family: Bacterial small subunit ribosomal RNA
Source: RNAcentral